This 204-nucleotide long non-coding RNA is filed under the name Lathyrus oleraceus (garden pea). RNAcentral describes it as "Pisum sativum (pea) long non-coding RNA (PSAT_LNC033571)". The record is from RNAcentral. Lineage: Eukaryota; Viridiplantae; Streptophyta; Magnoliopsida; Fabales; Fabaceae.
GAAGAAGCUAGAAGGCUGGAAGAAGAAGAAAGAGCAAGGGAAGCUGAAAUCCUAAGGUUAAAGGAAGCUGAAGCUAAGGCUCUGGCGGAUGCAGAAGCACAAGCUGCUGCUGAAGCUGAAGCUCAGCAGGCUCUGACUCUGGGGGAGUCCUCUUCUGUGAUCCCUAUGGUUCUUCAGACUCUGAAAGAACUUAAGCAAGAUCAG